RNAcentral lists this non-coding RNA (23 nucleotides) under Cricetulus griseus (Chinese hamster). Lineage: Eukaryota; Metazoa; Chordata; Mammalia; Rodentia; Cricetidae. The record is from RNAcentral.
AGGAGGGGUGAACCGGCCCAGGU